CAUUAAUAUUUACAAAUUCACGAACGAACUUAAUAAACUAACGACAGUCGUAUGCGAAGCAAAUUUGCAAACUUUCUGAAUUAAUUUCCUUGCUAGUACGUUGAUCAAGCUAUUAAAUUUCAGGACUGUGCGAAAUAAAAAUUUUCGAGAAAACACCUUACUUUUCUAUUAUUUUUUACGUAUUUACUAUACAAGCUUAGGGAUUCUCGUAGGGUUCCUCGUUUUAUGGGACCAAUUUGUCAGGGUUUUCACCAAUGAAUACAAAUCGGUCUCAUUCCGGAUAUCGAACGAUUUUUUCAUCAGUCGUGACGGUCACUUCAAGAUCGAUGAAUUCACUUUGAUAACCUUGACCUCUGGAUAGUUGGGGGAGGAGGGGGGGUGGCUUCAGAACGUAUUAAUAAAUUUCGUUGAUUUACCUAUAACGUAGUGGUCACGAUAACGUUGUCUUGGAUGCAAUGAUAAAUGUUUGUUUUUUUAGCUAUCGUCACCUUCGACCUUCCACUGUCUUCGUUCUGUAUCUCUGCUCGUUUGUUGUCAGACUUACGACCAGGACCAUUUAUUGAAUUGCACUGAAUGUCGUUACAAAGAGCUCAUUCUUACUGCGAUAUCGUUGUAACGACAACAAGGUGUUUAUGCCAAUAACGCGGUACGAUCAGAUGCAGAGAGUUACAACAUUUUUCCAACGUUGAUUAUUGAGAAAAAAAUGCAGACUGCGUGGCUAUAAGAAAGGAGAAAAAUGAAAAAUAUUUGUUUCAUUUUAGCUUUGGAAUUGAAUCGACGAAUGUAACUUGCAGACAAAAAAACACUAAAAGAAUUAAGAGAGAAGAGGUUGAGACACAGGAUGGAUUUAUCCGAAGACUGAAAUAGAAAGUAGAAUAGUCCAUGUCCCAUAUUAAACUGAUCGAUACCAGUAACUCUGCAUAUAAAAUAUGAUAAAUAAAUUGCUCUUUUUUUACGAAAAACCACUUGUCUUGACACGAAGAACACGAGACCGUGAUGAAUGGAUGGAUAAUAAACCAUCAAUUUUUUUCUAACAACAGGUUACAUAUAUUUUUAUCGACACCUAUAUUAUUCUGGAGUCAAAGGAAUUAAAAUUUAUUAAAAACUUAAUAAAUUUCUUUUACUUUAAAAUUUGCACGAUGUAACGUAUGAUAGAAACAAAAUUUCAGAGAAUUUAUGAUGCAAAAAAGAUUCGUCAUGGCUUUACGAGUUCUAGAAGCUAAAAAGUACGAUAAAAAAUAAUACAGAGGACGUACAAUCUUUUUAUAUCUACUGUAAGAAGAGAUGGACGAGGGUUAAAUUAAUAAGAUUAAUAACGACAUCAAGAGACGGAUAUAAAUAUCCAUUUAGCGAAAUAUAUCAUCUUGCAGAAACGAGCGUACACUGUGCAAUGUACAGGCAUCUUUAUUCGCGCGCCAGAUAUCGAAAAAACAAUUCGUGAAACACAUCUUCGACUAGCUUCUUGAGUAGGCCAGCUUCUUUCUUGGUUCUCGUCCCUACUCAUUACGGCGUGCAAAGUUCGCACGAAAUUAGGAAGUUGAUAAAAGCUUCAAUUGGAUAAGUUUGUAGCACUAGAAACGCGAUUAGACGUUUUUGUUUCGAGACACCUACCGAAGACAAGAAUAUUAUCGCGUAUGCAUAGCAAACAUCGGUAAUCUGUUGGUCAGAGAACAACCUCCAUAAAGAUUUGUAGUUUAGGCAAAGUAUUUUUUUUUAUUUAUUUAUUCAUUUUUAUUUUUAGUUCCUUUAACCUUGAUGUAACUCUUACUGUUUCGACUUCUAGUCGAUUAUCAUUCUGCCAAGGUUUGCAAAGAAUUAAUGUAAAUAAGAAAAAUAUUUUAACGCACAGGAAAUUCGUAUUUAAUGCGUUCCUAACGGAUGGAUCUGUCAGACGAAGAAGUCGAUGAUGACUCUCUUCCGUAACGCGACGAAGAAUUAAACUUUAACGUCCAGGACUUCUCGUCAACGCGUUUAUCGUUUUCGUCUUGAAAAACGAUGUUAAGAAUAAGUAUAUCUAUAGAUGUGCACACCGUAGAAAUUUUGUGAUACUCGACGAAAACUCGGGUUAAUAAAGUUCUUCGUUUCUCUCUU
Molecule: long non-coding RNA, 2091 nt
Organism: Bombus pyrosoma
Lineage: Eukaryota; Metazoa; Arthropoda; Insecta; Hymenoptera; Apidae
Exons: 2
Source: RefSeq, a predicted model, not a curated record